This 422-nucleotide ribosomal RNA is filed under the name Sphingomonas sp. Esz10t. RNAcentral describes it as "bacterial SSU rRNA". It matches the Rfam family "Bacterial small subunit ribosomal RNA", at positions 8 to 457 of the family's 1533-position model. Lineage: Bacteria; Pseudomonadati; Pseudomonadota; Alphaproteobacteria; Sphingomonadales; Sphingomonadaceae. The record is from RNAcentral.
AGAGUUUGAUCCAUGGCUCAGAAUGAACGCUGGCGGCAUGCCUAACACAUGCAAGUCGAACGAAGGCUUCGGCCUUAGUGGCGCACGGGUGCGUAACGCGUGGGAAUCUGCCCUUGGGUUCGGAAUAACAGUUAGAAAUGACUGCUAAUACCGGAUGAUGUCGUAAGACCAAAGAUUUAUCGCCCAAGGAUGAGCCCGCGUAGGAUUAGCUAGUUGGUGAGGUAAAAGCUCACCAAGGCGACGAUCCUUAGCUGGUCUGAGAGGAUGAUCAGCCACACUGGGACUGAGACACGGCCCAGACUCCUACGGGAGGCAGCAGUGGGGAAUAUUGGACAAUGGGCGAAAGCCUGAUCCAGCAAUGCCGCGUGAGUGAUGAAGGCCUUAGGGUUGUAAAGCUCUUUUACCCGGGAUGAUAAUGACAG